Molecule: ribosomal RNA, 253 nt
Filed under: uncultured bacterium
Lineage: Bacteria
Description: partial 16S ribosomal RNA
Rfam family: Bacterial small subunit ribosomal RNA
Source: RNAcentral
UACGGAGGGUGCGCGCGUUGUUCGGAAUCACUGGGCGUAAAGCGCGUGUAGGCAGCCUCCUAAGUCUGGUGUGAAAGCCCGGGGCUUACCCCCGGAAGUGCAUUGGAUACUGGGAGGCUGGAGUACCGGAGAGGAGGGUGGAAUUCCUGGUGUAGCGGUGAAAUGCGUAGAGAUCAGGAGGAACACCGGUGGCGAAGGCGGCCCUCUGGACGGAUACUGACGCUGAGACGCGACAGAGUGGGGAGCAAACAGG